GUGGCCGCGCUGUGGCUAAGCCCCAUCCUACGAAUCGGAACAGGAAUGCCCUCCGAGGGCGGUCCAGGCGACCCCCUCGCCAGUCUCAAUUUUAAAAGUAAACGUAGAGGUGGAAAUUAACUGAUCUUCCGGAUAAAGGAUCCUCCUGCUUUAUCACAGUCUGACUCAGACAGAAUUCUUGAUUCACGGGACGUGAAGCUGGUCCUGGGUGCACCACACCCCGCUGACCUCUGAGUCCCCAGCACCCCCCGGGCAUGAAGGACCCCACGGAUGGAAGGUCACUGAGUCAUUGAACAAGACAGACGUGACCACCUCCCCCAUCUUAUGGAAGAACCACGCAGAAAGCUCCUUAUUUCACAGCUAUUACUAGGAGCCUCAGAAGAGGAGGAAAUGUCCCUGCUGCCUGCAGCUUUAGAGACGGAGAGCGAGGCUCUUCCAACCGUGCAGGGCCCUCGUGAGGCAGAAAAAGGUGGGGACCACGUCGCUCCCCUGGCCUGGCUUCUGUGGGCAGCUGGCAGAAGCGGGACAGCGGACACCAGCGUGCAGGGCCCACCCGUGACCUCGCCUCUCCCAAGGCUGGGGAUGCCCCUCUGUACUUCCUUCCUUCUCCCGGUGGACACUUCUUGUUUAUUUCUGACUUGGCAAAUAAUCGGUCUUAGGACUAUAGUGCAGACUUUCUUCCCUCUGUGGUUAUGGUACAGCGAUCACGUCCCACCUGUGUGUUCUGCUUCCCGCAUCCAUCCUCACAUCUGACAGUAGACUGGUUGACUUUAGAGCCAGUCAGAAGCGCAGGGAGGAGAAAGAAGAAGAGUUAUUAUUAGCAAGGAAGAUGGAAUUAUCCUGGAGCCGAGUAAUUGGUUCCUAGAAACAUGAAGAUAGCUCGUCUAGCCCUGGGAAUUAUUGAGGAUCUGGUGAAGGGCCAGCGUUCAAUACAGUCAACAACUCCAGUGUGCCAGCGCUCGUGCCGGCCCGGGCCUCCUGCCGUGGGACAAGGGUCUGCCCGCCCCGUGGGUGCGGAGUCUGGGUUCUCCCAGGAAGAAACUCUGAUGGAUCCGGCCCUCACUCUGCUCCACGGGCCUCAGACCCAGUCCCAGAGGUCGGGUGAGGAGGACGCCCAUCCCACGUCAUUGCCUCCCGCGACCUCUGCCUCCCGCCAGCGCAGCCGCACACAGGAACCUUUGUCCCCACCGGCCGCCUGGUUCUGGCUCAGGAGGGGCUGCUCUCCGGCUGCCUGCCUACUGGUCUUCCCCUUUGACUCCAAGAUUUUGACCUCAGUGGAGGCUCAGAAACUUUCCGUUUGAACUAACUCUCAGAUUUUUUUCUUUAAAGUCUGACGACCCCCCAAAAUUCAGCACACAUCCAAAGUAAGGUGAAUCAGGGCACGUAGAAGGUUUAGAAGAUGAAACAGAAUAGACACGUGCAGCCACAGUCAGUACGGCUUCCAUCCUCAGGGCUCAUGCUCGGCGUUGGGCCUCCUGGCACCCAGAACCAAAAAAAGGAAAAAGGGAAAUGCUGAGAUUCCCUGUUUCUCUGUAACUAAGGUCCUCCUUUUGAUUAAUGGGUUUUGCAGAUAUUUUUUUCUUGCCUGGUAGUGAUUUGGAACCAUAGAAAUAUUAUAGCAGGAUCUCCUGUGAGCAACGUGGGUGUCUCCAGGCGGGCAGAAUAAGGGAACUAUGGACACAAGAGACGGCUGUUUGAGAUACAUGGAAGGGGUACCAGGAGGCUGGGUUAUCUUAAGGGAGUUUUCUAUCAAAGUGUUAAAUGGGGCGGGGAGGGGAGAGAAAGACAGAGAGAGAAGCAGAGAGACACAAAGAGUGAGAGACAGAGAGAGAGACAGCCAGAGAGGAGAAGGGAAGUUUAUCACCUUUGCCCGAAGGCCCGGGCCGGCCGGUCGCAGCCUCCCUGGACCAUUUGGAGCGAUGCUGGCCGGCUGGCAUUGACACUCGUCUCCUCUAGGAAGACCAUCUUGGGCUGUUCUUCUGCUCUUCGCUCUGCAUUUAAAAAAUGAGGCUCUCACGAUCGGAGCUUGUUUUCACAUCUUGUUAGCUCUGUGCUGGUAACAUUCCAGACAUGACUUCCAUCCUGUUAGCAAACGGGUCCUCAGAUUUCUUUUUCUGAAACACGCUUCUGGAAGUCUCCCUUGGAGAAGGCGAACCCCAGACAUUGUCUAUGAAUUCCUGAGAUCUCAAUCAAGUGAAUGAUUUCCCCCGAUGUCUUCAUUACUCUACACAUGUGCGUGUGGACACAUGCAUGUCCACACACGUGCACACACAUGCACACAUGACAGGAGCCCCAACAGGCUGCAUUGCAGGGACUCCCGGCUUCUAGGAGGCAGGGAUGUGGGAGCGCUCAGCGUGUGUUGAUUCAGCGGACGCGAGGCCCCCCGGCCACGGAGCAGCCUGUUUUCUGGGACCAGGAAACAUUUCAAGGACUCGGCAUCAGGCCUCCCACCCUGCACCCAGGCCUCGGCUUCCUCGUCUCAUAUUCACCAGCUGUCUCCAUGAUUUACUGUCUUUUUCCUGGUGGCCGCCAGGCCAGCAUGAGUCUGCAGCAGUCUACAUGUCCCUUGGCUCUGAGAGGAUGACCACGACAUGUGGGAGGAUGUUCAGGGGUCAAAUGAGUCUCUAGGGGCUUAAAACUAGCUCCCGAAAUGGUGACGUGACCUGUGACCAGAGGGACAGAUAUGGGCUGGGAACGUCAUGGCCUGAGGCUUCCAGAAAGAGGAUAUGUGUGGAGAGAGAGCAAGUGAAAGAGAACAGAAAGUCUCCAAGUGCAUCUCGCUCGGGCAGAGUCACGGCUGCCCUGUGAAACGUUCCAGCGGCGUGGAGCUCAGUCAGGUUUCUCUGCGGGACUCAUGGUUUUUGAAAAACAGUUUGAGUGAAUUAUAUUUUAAUAAAGAUGUUAAAAA
This is a non-coding RNA of Equus caballus (horse), 2908 nucleotides long. NCBI's taxonomy places the organism in Eukaryota, Metazoa, Chordata, Mammalia, Perissodactyla, Equidae. The record is from RefSeq and is a predicted model, not a curated record.